RNAcentral lists this ribosomal RNA (467 nucleotides) under uncultured bacterium. RNAcentral describes it as "bacterial SSU rRNA". It matches the Rfam family "Bacterial small subunit ribosomal RNA", at positions 329 to 794 of the family's 1533-position model. The record is from RNAcentral.
UGCCAGACUCCUACGGGAGGCAGCAGUGAGGAAUAUUGGUCAAUGGCCGAGAGGCUGAACCAGCCAAGUCGCGUGAGGGAUGACGGCCCUACGGGUUGUAAACCUCUUUUGUCGGGGAGCAAAGAGAGUCACGUGUGGCUCAUUGAGAGUACCCGAAGAAAAAGCAUCGGCUAACUCCGUGCCAGCAGCCGCGGUAAUACGGAGGAUGCGAGCGUUAUCCGGAUUUAUUGGGUUUAAAGGGUGCGCAGGCGGAGGUGCAAGUCAGCGGUCAAAUUGCGGGGCUCAACCCCGUACUGCCGUUGAAACUGCAUCCCUUGAGUGCGCGAGAAGUAUGCGGAAUGCGUGGUGUAGCGGUGAAAUGCAUAGAUAUCACACAGAACACCGAUUGCGAAGGCAUCUGACGAAUCGGAGAUUGACGCUGAUGCACGAAAGCGUGGGUAUCGAACAGGAUUAGAUACCCCUGUAGC